CCUACGGGGUGCAGCAGUGGGGAAUAUUGGACAAUGGGCGAAAGCCUGAUCCAGCCAUGCCGCGUGUGUGAAGAAGGCCUUCGGGUUGUAAAGCACUUUCAGUGGGGAAGAAAGCCUUGGGGCUAAUACCCUCGAGGAAGGACAUCACCCACAGAAGAAGCACCGGCUAACUCCGUGCCAGCAGCCGCGGUAAUACGGAGGGUGCGAGCGUUAAUCGGAAUUACUGGGCGUAAAGCGCGCGUAGGCGGUCUGAUAAGCCGGUUGUGAAAGCCCCGGGCUCAACCUGGGAACGGCAUCCGGAACGGUCAGGCUAGAGUGCAGGAGAGGAAGGUAGAAUUCCCGGUGUAGCGGUGAAAUGCGUAGAGAUCGGGAGGAAUACCAGUGGCGAAGGCGGCCUUCUGGACUGACACUGACGCUGAGGUGCGAAAGCGUGGGUAGCAAACAGGAUUAGAUACCCUUGUAGUC
Molecule: ribosomal RNA, 465 nt
Filed under: Vreelandella stevensii
Lineage: Bacteria; Pseudomonadati; Pseudomonadota; Gammaproteobacteria; Oceanospirillales; Halomonadaceae
Description: partial 16S ribosomal RNA
Rfam family: Bacterial small subunit ribosomal RNA
Source: RNAcentral